CCCAGCAGCCAUAUCACCCUGCAGCUCACAACUAGCAGCCCACUGCAGCUCAGCAGGUGUGAGCCUGGUCAGUACCUGGAUGGGAGACCUUCUAGGUAAACUAUGGCUGCUGCUGGAA
This 118-nucleotide ribosomal RNA is filed under the name Lepisosteus oculatus (spotted gar). The record is from RNAcentral. Lineage: Eukaryota; Metazoa; Chordata; Actinopteri; Semionotiformes; Lepisosteidae.